RNAcentral lists this ribosomal RNA (254 nucleotides) under uncultured bacterium. Its description in RNAcentral is "partial 16S ribosomal RNA". It matches the Rfam family "Bacterial small subunit ribosomal RNA", at positions 524 to 776 of the family's 1533-position model. The record is from RNAcentral.
CACGUAGAGACCAAGCGUUGUCCGGAUUUAUUGGGCGUAAAGAGCUCGUAGGCGGUCCGGCAAGUCGGGUGAGAAAACUCUGGGCUCAACCCGGCGCGGCCACCCGAUACUGCCGUGAUUUGAGUCCGGUAGGGGAGCACGAAAUUCCUGGUAUAGAGGUGAAAUGCGCAGAUAUCAGGAGGAACACCGGUGGCGAAGGCGGUGCUUUGGGCCGGUACUGACGCUGAGGAGAGAAAGCGUGGGUAGCAAACAGG